UGUGAGCUCGAUGAGUAGGGCGGGACACGUGGUAUCCUGUCUGAAUAUGGGGGGACCAUCCUCCAAGGCUAAAUACUCCUGACUGACCGAUAGUGAACCAGUACCGUGAGGGAAAGGCGAAAAGAACCCCGGCGAGGGGAGUGAAAAAGAACCUGAAACCGUGUACGUACAAGCAGUGGGAGCACAGAGCAAUCUGUGUGACUGCGUACCUUUUGUAUAAUGGGUCAGCGACUUAUAUUCUGUAGCAAGGUUAACCGAAUAGGGGAGCCGAAGGGAAACCGAGUCUUAACUGGGCGUUAAGUUGCAGGGUAUAGACCCGAAACCCGGUGAUCUAGCCAUGGGCAGGUUGAAGGUUGGGUAACACUAACUGGAGGACCGAACCGACUAAUGUUGAAAAAUUAGCGGAUGACUUGUGGCUGGGGGUGAAAGGCCAAUCAAACCGGGAGAUAGCUGGUUCUCCCCGAAAGCUAUUUAGGUAGCGCCUCGUGAAUUCAUCUCCGGGGGUAGAGCACUGUUUCGGCAAGGGGGUCAUCCCGACUUACCAACCCGAUGCAAACUGCGAAUACCGGAGAAUGUUAUCACGGGAGACACACGGCGGGUGCUAACGUCCGUCGUGAAGAGGGAAACAACCCAGACCGCCAGCUAAGGUCCCAAAGUCAUGGUUAAGUGGGAAACGAUGUGGGAAGGCCCAGACAGCCAGGAUGUUGGCUUAGAAGCAGCCAUCAUUUAAAGAAAGCGUAAUAGCUCACUGGUCGAGUCGGCCUGCGCGGAAGAUGUAACGGGGCUAAACCAUGCACCGAAGCUGCGGCAGCGACACUGUGUGUUGUUGGGUAGGGGAGCGUUCUGUAAGCCUGUGAAGGUGUACUGUGAGGUAUGCUGGAGGUAUCAGAAGUGCGAAUGCUGACAUAAGUAACGAUAAAGCGGGUGAAAAGCCCGCUCGCCGGAAGACCAAGGGUUCCUGUCCAACGUUAAUCGGGGCAGGGUGAGUCGACCCCUAAGGCGAGGCCGAAAGGCGUAGUCGAUGGGAAACAGGUUAAUAUUCCUGUACUUGGUGUUACUGCGAAGGGGGGACGGAGAAGGCUAUGUUGGCCGGGCGACGGUUGUCCCGGUUUAAGCGUGUAGGCUGGUUUUCCAGGCAAAUCCGGAAAAUCAAGGCUGAGGCGUGAUGACGAGGCACUACGGUGCUGAAGCAACAAAUGCCCUGCUUCCAGGAAAAGCCUCUAAGCAUCAGGUAACAUCAAAUCGUACCCCAAACCGACACAGGUGGUCAGGUAGAGAAUACCAAGGCGCUUGAGAGAACUCGGGUGAAGGAACUAGGCAAAAUGGUGCCGUAACUUCGGGAGAAGGCACGCUGAUAUGUAGGUGAAGUCCCUCGCGGAUGGAGCUGAAAUCAGUCGAAGAUACCAGCUGGCUGCAACUGUUUAUUAAAAACACAGCACUGUGCAAACACGAAAGUGGACGUAUACGGUGUGACGCCUGCCCGGUGCCGGAAGGUUAAUUGAUGGGGUCAGCGCAAGCGAAGCUCUUGAUCGAAGCCCCGGUAAACGGCGGCCGUAACUAUAACGGUCCUAAGGUAGCGAAAUUCCUUGUCGGGUAAGUUCCGACCUGCACGAAUGGCGUAAUGAUGGCCAGGCUGUCUCCACCCGAGACUCAGUGAAAUUGAACUCGCUGUGAAGAUGCAGUGUACCCGCGGCAAGACGGAAAGACCCCGUGAACCUUUACUAUAGCUUGACACUGAACAUUGAGCCUUGAUGUGUAGGAUAGGUGGGAGGCUUUGAAGUGUGGACGCCAGUCUGCAUGGAGCCGACCUUGAAAUACCACCCUUUAAUGUUUGAUGUUCUAACGUGGACCCGUGAUCCGGGUUGCGGACAGUGUCUGGUGGGUAGUUUGACUGGGGCGGUCUCCUCCUAAAGAGUAACGGAGGAGCACGAAGGUUGGCUAAUCCUGGUCGGACAUCAGGAGGUUAGUGCAAUGGCAUAAGCCAGCUUGACUGCGAGCGUGACGGCGCGAGCAGGUGCGAAAGCAGGUCAUAGUGAUCCGGUGGUUCUGAAUGGAAGGGCCAUCGCUCAACGGAUAAAAGGUACUCCGGGGAUAACAGGCUGAUACCGCCCAAGAGUUCAUAUCGACGGCGGUGUUUGGCACCUCGAUGUCGGCUCAUCACAUCCUGGGGCUGAAGUAGGUCCCAAGGGUAUGGCUGUUCGCCAUUUAAAGUGGUACGCGAGCUGGGUUUAGAACGUCGUGAGACAGUUCGGUCCCUAUCUGCCGUGGGCGCUGGAGAACUGAGGGGGGCUGCUCCUAGUACGAGAGGACCGGAGUGGACGCAUCACUGGUGUUCGGGUUGUCAUGCCAAUGGCACUGCCCGGUAGCUAAAUGCGGAAGAGAUAAGUGCUGAAAGCAUCUAAGCACGAAACUUGCCCCGAGAUGAGUUCU
RNAcentral lists this ribosomal RNA (2430 nucleotides) under Escherichia coli. RNAcentral's name for it is "bacterial LSU rRNA". It matches the Rfam family "Bacterial large subunit ribosomal RNA", at positions 398 to 2812 of the family's 2925-position model. Lineage: Bacteria; Pseudomonadati; Pseudomonadota; Gammaproteobacteria; Enterobacterales; Enterobacteriaceae. The record is from RNAcentral.